RNAcentral lists this ribosomal RNA (254 nucleotides) under Bacillus sp. MCA2.41. Its description in RNAcentral is "partial 16S ribosomal RNA". It matches the Rfam family "Bacterial small subunit ribosomal RNA", at positions 80 to 327 of the family's 1533-position model. Lineage: Bacteria; Bacillati; Bacillota; Bacilli; Caryophanales; Bacillaceae. The record is from RNAcentral.
UGCUCCCGGAUGUUAGCGGCGGACGGSYGAKUAACACGUGGGUAACCUGCCUGUAAGACUGGGAUAACYCCSGGAAACCGGAGCUAAUACCGGAUAGUUCCUUGAACCGCAUGGUUCAAGGAUGAAAGACGGUUUCGGCUGUCACUUACAGAUGGACCCGCGGCGCAUUAGCUAGUUGGUGGGGUAAKGGCUCACCRRGGCGACGAUGCGUAGCCGACCUGAGAGGGUGAUCGGCCACACUGGGACUGAGACAC